This 66-nucleotide transfer RNA is filed under the name bovine gut metagenome. It matches the Rfam family "tRNA", at positions 5 to 66 of the family's 71-position model. Rfam says of the family: Transfer RNA (tRNA) molecules are approximately 80 nucleotides in length. Their secondary structure includes four short double-helical elements and three loops (D, anti-codon, and T loops). The record is from RNAcentral.
CCGUAGCUCAGCUGGAUAGAGUGGUUGACUUCGAAUCAAUAGGUCGCAGGUUCGAGUCCUGUCGGG